CAGCCCCUACGGGGCGCAGCAGUAGGGAAUCUUCCACAAUGGGCGAAAGCCUGAUGGAGCAACGCCGCGUGGGUGAAGAAGGUCUUCGGAUCGUAAAACCCUGUUGUUAGGGAAGAAAGUGCGUGAGAGUAACUGUUCACGUUUCGACGGUAUCUAACCAGAAAGCCACGGCUAACUACGUGCCAGCAGCCGCGGUAAUACGUAGGUGGCAAGCGUUGUCCGGAUUUACUGGGUGUAAAGGGCGUGCAGCCGGAGAGACAAGUCAGAUGUGAAAUCCGCGGGCUCAACCCGCGAACUGCAUUUGA
RNAcentral lists this ribosomal RNA (305 nucleotides) under uncultured bacterium. RNAcentral's name for it is "bacterial SSU rRNA". It matches the Rfam family "Bacterial small subunit ribosomal RNA", at positions 334 to 630 of the family's 1533-position model. The record is from RNAcentral.